This 67-nucleotide microRNA precursor is filed under the name Bombyx mori (domestic silkworm). RNAcentral describes it as "mir-2774 microRNA precursor family". It matches the Rfam family "mir-2774 microRNA precursor family". The record is from Rfam by way of RNAcentral. Lineage: Eukaryota; Metazoa; Arthropoda; Insecta; Lepidoptera; Bombycidae.
ACAACAUUCGGACCGUCGGUCUACCGAGCAAUUCCACUCGCUUGGUAAAAGAUUUUCCCUUUGUCGU